This 2149-nucleotide long non-coding RNA is filed under the name Anas platyrhynchos platyrhynchos (common mallard). Its description in RNAcentral is "lncRNA (ENSAPLG00000022324.1)". The record is from RNAcentral. Lineage: Eukaryota; Metazoa; Chordata; Aves; Anseriformes; Anatidae.
UUUUUUUUCUCCUGCCCAGCAGUGCGCUGCUGCUGCAAACGCAUAGGAACCAUAGGGCAAAUACCUACAACCACCAAAUGGCACAAUCACAGCACUCAGCCACUGCAGUCCCUAAUGACCACCUCCCCAGCAGUUUUCAGAGCCAUCCCUUUUGCUAUGGGUGAGGUAUCUGACAGGGAAAGGUUUGGGUCACAGGCCAGGCCACCCCCAGGCUGGUUAAGGACACCCAGGGUGGGGACAAGUAUUACAAGAAAAGCACUGCAGGAGAUCAUUUCCGAACCAUGCUGAGAUUACACCCAACACAACAGGUUGCCAGUGACCGGUGAGAGGAGACAGCGAGUCUUUGCUGUUGGCCUUAUUAUUUUGCUGUCUGAAUUACAAAUAGAAUUUAGACAAAACUUAAAUCUAAUUAAGCAGCAGUUUGUGCUGUGGCAGAUUUUAUCACACUAAGUAAUUGGCUGUAAUGGGACUUCUGCAGCCUAAGCUGAGGGCAAAUGAUAUAUGCUGUAGACACAUAAUGAACUUUAAAUAAAUUAUCCAAGAGCAGAACUCAAAAUAAAAGGGAACUAGAUUAUUGAAAUAGAAACUCUCUCUCAGUCUUAACAGUGGAGCCACUGCUCCGUUACAUGGUACUCUUUACUGUAACCAAUUGAUUGGAGUCACUUUAAAAAAUGUUGUGAUUGCAUGUCUUUAAUUGCAGUCACGUAUAAGGGAAACUUGUCUGCUCCUGCAUUGUGAUAAUUUAAUUAGAGCCUGCUGGAAAUAAAAGCCAAAUGGCUGCAGCCAUGGCAAAGUAACCUAAUGCCUGUAAUUGGACUAUAUUUCACACAGAUGUGUUGCUGAAUAAAUUAAAUGGGAUUUGGCUCACGCUGUUUGACUAUUCCACUGGCUGGGAUCUGAAAGUCACAAAUUACAUAUUUAAGGAUGAAGAUGGAAGCACCCUAUUGCUUUUCUUCAGCUGCAGAGGUCCUGUUUAGGCAAAACAAGACCAGGGCAAGAAGGAGAGCGUGGCGGCAAGCAGAGGGGCAGGGAACUGAGGCAUGGAGCUGGCUGGGAAGUGAGGAAGAUGAGGCUCAGGAAGCUCAAGAAGGCAAGUAUUGCUAUGGAUCACAUUUGCCCUUAUGUCCUCUGGCAGGAGGACAGGAAUGAAACUCUUGCAUAUGAUGCACUUGUCCAGCACAGAAGCCAGUUACCCAAACACCGAGCAUACUCAGUGAAGAGCAAAUGAUGGUAAAGGUCUAGGUGUGGUGGUCACCUCUUGUCAAGCAUUUCUCAAUCCUAAACAGUGCCUGAGUCAGUGUGCUGGCAUCUGCAGACUGCGUGCUUGGCUGGCCCACGGGCACGCUGCUGGUGUUCACAAAGGGCUGUGUUUUCCCUUAUUCCCUCUGUUGCUGACUUCUUGCAGUUCAAAACCAAAAAUGUCAUCCAGUCAAACUCUGUGGGAAGAAGAAUUUGCAGAGCACAGUAAGGGAAUAUAAUGAGAAACCUUUUCUCCUUAAAGGUAGACAGGCACUGGGGAGGCUGCCCUGCAAGGAUGUGCAGGUGCCAUCCUUGGAUGUUUUCAAGUCACAGCUGGACACAGCUCUGAGCAACCUGGCCAGAAAUCAGUGCUGACACUUCUCUGGACAGGGAAUUGCACUAGAGACCUUCUGAAGUCCCUUUCAACCUGAUGGGUCCUAGAAUUUUACAAUCCUAUGAAGACUGCAAGCUGUAAAAGACAAGGGUAAGAUCAAAGAUCCAAAAUUUCAAGAGCAACCAGUUUCUUCUUGUUGCAAGGAAGACAAAUCACAAUACGACAAAACUACACUAGACCUUAGCCAACCCUUUCCCACAGCUAGGGAGCCCUGUUUACCAACCAGUCUCAACUGUACGCUCUUUAUUUCCCAGGAGUCAUCAAGACUGCAGAGAUGAAGUUCUGUGAAAUUGCUUAAUUCUUUAGUUUUAUUAGUCCUCAAGGUAGUGCAGACCUUUAUAGUCCUUUUUAUUUACUUAGGAUUUAGACAUGUAUGGCUGCGUACAUACAUGCAUAUUUGGACACCCCUACUAUUCGCUCAGCCUGGAUUUAAACAGAAAUUUGUCUCACAGUUAUUAAACUGACUGUGUGGUUUGAAACAUUUUUCUAAUGUUUCAUUUAAUUUCUGAUAAACUU